This 766-nucleotide ribosomal RNA is filed under the name uncultured euryarchaeote. RNAcentral describes it as "bacterial SSU rRNA". The stretch from base 1 to 474 matches the Rfam family "Archaeal small subunit ribosomal RNA", at positions 468 to 1477 of the family's 1478-position model. Lineage: Archaea; Methanobacteriati; Methanobacteriota. The record is from RNAcentral.
CGGUAAUACCGGCAGCUCRAGUGGUCGUCGCUUUUAUUGGGCCUAAAACGUCCGUAGCCUGUUUGGUAAAUCUGUGGGUAAAUCAACCAGCUUAACUGGUUGAAUUCUGCAGAGACUGCCAGACUAGGGACCGGGAGAGGUGUGGGGUACUCUAGGGGUAGGGGUAAAAUCCUGUCAUCCUUAGAGGACCACCAGUUGCGAAGGCGCCACACURGAACGGAUCCGACGGUCAGGGACGAAGCCUAGGGGCACGAACCGGAUUAGAUACCCGGGUAGUCCUAGGUGUAAACGCUGUGAACUUGGUGUCGGGRGUCCGCAAKGGGYCCCCGGUGCCGGAGUGAAGAUGUUAAGUUCACUGCCUGGGGAGUACGGUCGCAAGGCUGCGGUAAUACCGGCAGCUCRAGUGGUCGUCGCUUUUAUUGGGCCUAAAACGUCCGUAGCCUGUUUGGUAAAUCUGUGGGUAAAUCAACCAGCUUAACUGGUUGAAUUCUGCAGAGACUGCCAGACUAGGGACCGGGAGAGGUGUGGGGUACUCUAGGGGUAGGGGUAAAAUCCUGUCAUCCUUAGAGGACCACCAGUUGCGAAGGCGCCACACURGAACGGAUCCGACGGUCAGGGACGAAGCCUAGGGGCACGAACCGGAUUAGAUACCCGGGUAGUCCUAGGUGUAAACGCUGUGAACUUGGUGUCGGGRGUCCGCAAKGGGYCCCCGGUGCCGGAGUGAAGAUGUUAAGUUCACUGCCUGGGGAGUACGGUCGCAAGGCUG